UUUGUUUUCUUUUUCUCCUUUCUUCUUUGUAUUUUUUCUUAGUAUCCCAGUGACUUCAGCAAAAGAUUUUCUCUUUUUUUUUUUUAUGGUGUCCCAAGAUAAAUCGGGGACAAUUUUUAACUCUGUAAAUUCUGGUUUUGUCCAUUGUUUUCCUGUUUCUUUGUACCGCUUGCUCUUUAACAUUAAUCAGCUUUUCCAACUGCAUCAAUCACCAGCCUUUGCAAUCAUUACUGGAUUGAUGGGCAGCUACCUGCAUUGUCUGGUCAGCCUCCCUUUAUCUUUCUUAUUCC
Non-coding RNA from Pelobates cultripes (western spadefoot toad), 290 nucleotides. Lineage: Eukaryota; Metazoa; Chordata; Amphibia; Anura; Pelobatidae. The record is from the annotation of a GenBank genome assembly.